UGAGGAAUAUUGGGCAAUGCCCGCAAGGGUGACCCAGCAACGCCGCGUGGAGGAUGAAUGUCGUAAGAUUGUAAACUCCUGUUAGAGGGGAAGAAUAGUACCGGUUGGACCGGUAUAUGACUGUACCCUCAGAGAAAGCCCCGGCUAACUACGUGCCAGCAGCCGCGGUAAUACGUAGGGGGCAAGCGUUGUCCGGAUUUACUGGGUGUAAAGGGCGCGCAGGCGGGAUAAAAAGUCAGUGGUGAAAUCCUACAGCUUAACUGUAGAACUGCCUUUGAUACUUUUAUUCUCGAGUUCGGGAGAGAGAGACGGAAUUCCAGGUGUAGUGGUGAAAUACGUAGAUAUCUGGAAGAACACCAGUUGCGAAGGCGGUCUCUUGGUCCGACACUGACGCUGAGGCGCGAAAGCGUGGGGAGCAAAC
RNAcentral lists this ribosomal RNA (421 nucleotides) under uncultured bacterium. RNAcentral describes it as "bacterial SSU rRNA". It matches the Rfam family "Bacterial small subunit ribosomal RNA", at positions 355 to 773 of the family's 1533-position model. The record is from RNAcentral.